UCCCUGGCAGUCCAAUGGUGGUUGGGACUCUGCACUUACAAUGCCGGGGGCGCAGGUUCGAUCCCUGGUCAGGGAA
This 76-nucleotide transfer RNA is filed under the name Bos taurus (domestic cattle). It matches the Rfam family "tRNA". Rfam says of the family: Transfer RNA (tRNA) molecules are approximately 80 nucleotides in length. Their secondary structure includes four short double-helical elements and three loops (D, anti-codon, and T loops). Lineage: Eukaryota; Metazoa; Chordata; Mammalia; Artiodactyla; Bovidae. RNAcentral also lists the same sequence under 3 other names. The record is from Rfam by way of RNAcentral.